AAUCAACGCUGGCGGCGUGCCUCAGACAUGCAAGUCGAACGCGAAAGUUUCCUUCGGGGAGCGAGUAGAGUGGCGCACAGGUGAGUAACACGUAGGUAAUCUACCUUCGGAUGGGGAAUAAACAAUCGGAAACGGUUGCUAAUACCGCAUAAUGCAGCGGCACCUAAUGGUGACAGUUGUUAAAGCGGGGGAUCGUAAGACCUCGCGUCUGAAGAGGAGCCUGCGGCGGAUAGCUUGUUGGUAAGGUAAUGGCUUACCAAGGCGACGAUCCGUAACCGGCCUGAGAGGGCGGUCGGUCACACUGACACUGACAUACGGGUCAGACUCCGUACGGGAGGCAGCAGUCGGGAAUUUU
This 355-nucleotide ribosomal RNA is filed under the name uncultured bacterium. Its description in RNAcentral is "bacterial SSU rRNA". It matches the Rfam family "Bacterial small subunit ribosomal RNA", at positions 32 to 365 of the family's 1533-position model. The record is from RNAcentral.